GGACGUUGAUAGGCUGGGUGUGGAAGUGCAGUAAUGCAUUAAGCUAACCAGUACUAAUUGCCCGUAAGGCUUGUCCCUAUAACUUUG
Molecule: ribosomal RNA, 87 nt
Filed under: Affinundibacterium flavidum
Lineage: Bacteria; Pseudomonadati; Pseudomonadota; Betaproteobacteria; Burkholderiales; Oxalobacteraceae
Description: partial 23S ribosomal RNA
Rfam family: Bacterial large subunit ribosomal RNA (bases 1-78)
Source: RNAcentral